AUUGAACGCUGGCGGCAGGCCUAACACAUGCAAGUCGAGCGGAUGAAGGGAGCUUGCUCCUGGAUUCAGCGGCGGACGGGUGAGUAAUGCCUAUGAAUCUGCCUGGUAGUGGGGGAUAACGUCCGGAAACGGGCGCUAAUACCGCAUACGUCGUGAUGGAGAAAGUGGGGGAUCUUCGGACCUCACGCUAUCAUAUGAGCCUAGGUCGGAUUAGCUAGUUGGUGGGGUAAAGGCCUACCAAGGCGACGAUCCGUAACUGGUCUGAGAGGAUGAUCAGUCACACUGGAACUGAGACACGGUCCAGACUCCUACGGGAGGAAGCAGUGGGGAAUAUUGGACAAUGGGCGAAAGCGUGAUCCAGCCAUGCCGCGUGUGUGAAGAAGGUCUUCGGAUUGUAAAGCAAUUUAAGUUGGGAGGAAGGGCAGUAAGUUAAUACCUUGCUGUUUUGACGUUACCAACAGAAUAAGCACCGGCUAACUUCGUG
This 484-nucleotide ribosomal RNA is filed under the name uncultured bacterium. RNAcentral describes it as "partial 16S ribosomal RNA". It matches the Rfam family "Bacterial small subunit ribosomal RNA", at positions 30 to 507 of the family's 1533-position model. The record is from RNAcentral.